RNAcentral lists this long non-coding RNA (834 nucleotides) under Salvia miltiorrhiza (redroot sage). Its description in RNAcentral is "long non-coding RNA (SMIL_LNC010720)". Lineage: Eukaryota; Viridiplantae; Streptophyta; Magnoliopsida; Lamiales; Lamiaceae. The record is from RNAcentral.
UUCGAAGGCCAAUUUUGGACCGUGGAACAAAAGCGAUCCUGAGCUAUUUAAAGGAUAGAAUUGUCCAGCAGUAACAGGUUCGUAUUUCCUCCAUGACGACAGUGGCGAACUUGCGGUUCCCGUUGACGAGCUGAGUAGCAUAAACUCUUAAUAUCACUCAUGUUCCCGUUGGUGUGUUAUGUAUAAAUUAGUAUUGUCUAUUGUAUCAAAGCAUUUCAUCAAGCUGGAAUUGUAUCCCAGUUAAGUUUUUAACUCAUUGCUUCGCCUUGCGGUUUCCAUCGCCUAAAUGUGUUGUUGUGAUGUAUUCAAGUAUUAUAUUCACAUUCCUACUAGAUAAUCUUUUAUCUAUGAGUCAAGUAUGAUUCGUGCUGUGGAAAAUUACAUCAGAGCUGAUUUGGUUUUGUUUUGAUAUCCGUAUAAAGCUUGCAGAUUUCCACGACAUAAGAAGAGUUAUUAGCUGUUCUUGUCGGUAAAUUCUACCAUUCACCAAGGUCUCCAGCACUCCCACCUCGGAUGCGCGACACGUGGCAAAGCUAACUUUAUGAAUUGUUAUUUUUCUUUUGCAACUAAUAGUUAACACCGUCAAAUUCUCCCAUCUACCACUCAUUACGUUCUUGGGAAUAGAUAAGUCUCGGUAUCAGACUUCGGCAAUUUUUGUGGCCGAGUGUUUUGGCAACAUUGGCACAUUUGUACUUUUGGGCGCGAUUUUUCGAAUUCCUUUUUUGGUGGGGAUCAAAUGGAGACUUUUGGGUUUUCUUUGUCCAUUUUCUUUCCCACGAAUUCUGAGCUUGUUUUGAAGCUCUUCAUUGAUCUUAAAUGAAAAAUUAAAUUGUA